UAUGUUUAGAUAAUUAUUUACGCUAUUUCUGCUGGAGUUACUAAUGCUCUUUUGUUUUUGUUUUUGUUUUUGUUUUUCCUUUCCUUCACCGAGCCGAUGGUCGAUUGGAAACAGCCUCUCUGCCCUUUCGGGUAGGGGUAAAGCUCGUCUACAUAUUACCAUAGCCAGACCCCACUUUGUGGGACUAUACUAGGUAGUUGUUGUUGUUGUUGUUGUUGUUGCUUGUCGCUCUCUUCCUUGUACAUGGUAACUUAGCUCCAAUUAUCAGCUACUUUUAUUGUCGGGAGAUAUUGCGACAGAGUUUCUGUGCUGCCUUUUUUCUGUUAAGUACUGAAGAUAUUUGAGUUUCAUGUGUUUCCUACUGGAACGAGACCUGUAGUUUGAUCUGAAAAUUUUCAGGAGUUUAACUCCUAUGUUACAGAAGUUGACCUCUUUGGAGGAAGGAAAAAGUAAGCAUCAAGAAGAUGCAAAAGUUACC
This 478-nucleotide long non-coding RNA is filed under the name Nicotiana benthamiana. RNAcentral's name for it is "long non-coding RNA (NBEN_LNC033917)". The record is from RNAcentral. Lineage: Eukaryota; Viridiplantae; Streptophyta; Magnoliopsida; Solanales; Solanaceae.